Molecule: ribosomal RNA, 253 nt
Filed under: uncultured bacterium
Lineage: Bacteria
Also listed under: 2 other names
Description: partial 16S ribosomal RNA
Rfam family: Archaeal small subunit ribosomal RNA
Source: RNAcentral
UACCCGCAGCUCAAGUGGUGGUCAUUAUUAUUGGGCCUAAAGCGUCCGUAGCUGGUUUGUUAAAUGCCUGGGUAAAUCGAUGCGCUCAACGCAUCGAAUUCCGGGUAGACUGGCAAACUCGAGACCGGGAGAGGUGUAGGCUACUCGAGGGGUAGGGGUAAAAUCCUGUAAUCCUUCGGGGAGGACCAGUGGCGAAGGCGCUACACUAGAACGGCUCUGACAGUGAGGGACGAAGCCCUGGGGCGCAAACCGG